GGCUGGAUAGCUCAGUCGGUAGAGCAUGAGACUCUUAAUUCCAGGGUCAUGGGUUCAAGCCCCAUGUUGGAUG
Molecule: transfer RNA, 73 nt
Filed under: Podarcis lilfordi (Lilford's wall lizard)
Lineage: Eukaryota; Metazoa; Chordata; Lepidosauria; Squamata; Lacertidae
Description: tRNA.Lys
Rfam family: tRNA (bases 8-65)
About the family: Transfer RNA (tRNA) molecules are approximately 80 nucleotides in length. Their secondary structure includes four short double-helical elements and three loops (D, anti-codon, and T loops). Further hydrogen bonds mediate the characteristic L-shaped molecular structure. tRNAs have two regions of fundamental functional importance: the anti-codon, which is responsible for specific mRNA codon recognition, and the 3' end, to which the tRNAs corresponding amino acid is attached (by aminoacyl-tRNA synthetases). tRNAs cope with the degeneracy of the genetic code in two manners: having more than one tRNA (with a specific anti-codon) for a particular amino acid; and 'wobble' base-pairing, i.e. permitting non-standard base-pairing at the 3rd anti-codon position.
Source: RNAcentral